Ananas comosus (pineapple) is the source of this 301-nucleotide long non-coding RNA. RefSeq lists it as uncharacterized. The transcript is spliced from 2 exons. The record is from RefSeq and is a predicted model, not a curated record. Lineage: Eukaryota; Viridiplantae; Streptophyta; Magnoliopsida; Poales; Bromeliaceae.
GGCGAUGGGGGUGUUGGCGAUGGUGGGGGUGGGGGAGGAGAAGGUGGCGGCGGUGGCGGAUCGGUUGGAGUGGGUGCGGUGGCUUGGGAGGGCAGUGGCGCGCGCGCCGAGCUCACCAUCAUUAAUCGCCUCCGCCACAUGCACCUCGCCUCGUCGGGCGAGAUGCGCGCGGCGGGUGCCACUGCCUUCCCCAGCCGCCGCACCCACUCCGGCCAAUCCGCCACCACCGACGCCUCCAGAGCCGGCGGGUGGGUGGUGCUCCUGCAGGAAGAAGAAGAAGAAGAAGAAGAAGAAGAAGAAA